AUUUUUCACCUGGCCUUUCCAGUCCCUCAUGGCCUCUUUCUACCAUCCAUCCUCCCUGACGCUUAUCACUACGGUAGUGCCGGCCCAGCUGGUAUCUGAGAAAACUUUUUAGAAAAGACGGGCUAUAUGGACCCAACCAAUUAACUCUUCUUGGAAGGCGAAAACAACUCAUGCAGAGGCUGUGGUGGUGUUAGGCAUAGGAUGCGAACGUGUGUAGCCAACUUAAAGCUAGAUUAACGUGGCAAAUGUUAAUAUUUUUCCCUCGACCGGCCCAAUAGUGAAGCGGCCCACCGGGAAUUCUCCCGAUUACCCACUCCGGGCCUGGCCAGGCCAAAAUCGACAUCUUUCUGUUUUACAUUGUCUUAAUUUUUACAGCUACGUUGUUAACUCUGGUUCAGUUGUUGACUGUGUCCACUCCCACUCAAAACUCAAGAACAGCUGUUAAUUAACAUUAAUGCAGUGAUUGGAAGUUCAUGAUUGGACCUAAAACGGCCAUAUCACUGUCUGCAUGGCCUGGUGACAUUUUUGUUACCGCUGCUUUUUCGUGGGUGUUUGCAGACAUCAUGGCUGCAGACUUAAUUUUAAGGGCUUGGGCAGUUUUUAUGUUGGGGAUUGUCUUGUCUGAACAACUUCCGGAAGGGUCAGGACCCAUUUCUGGCGACACUGGAGGUUAUCACCCUGGCUCUGAUGACUGGGUCUCCACAUUAGGAGACAUAGCCGACUCUUCAAAACAUGAUUCUAAACAGCAGCAGUCGUUCUCUCUAGAGCCACUGGAGACCUGGGAGAAUCCUAGUAUGCAAUGGAUGUUUGCAAAGGCAGUAACCUCUGGGCAGGCUCUUGGUAAUCAUCAAUUUGAUCCCAAGGCUUCUGAACUCUCAGCUACUGGUUUCUCAGCUACUGAUUUAAACUCUUCCAUCUCUAAGCAAUUUGCAAGAGAACUGUGUUCAUGGUGUGCGCUGCCUGCACAAGGAAAUCCUGCCCUCUCCCAGAGUGGGAAUGUUGGCUCAUCUAGCUUUCAGAAUGUUAACCGUGCAAAAGUUCCUGUUGGUUCCAUACAAAACGUUACAGGUAGUUCUCAAGAAGGAGAUCAUGAUUACAGUAACUCUGCCUCACUCCCCAGUUAUUAUAAUGCUUUACCAAGUAAUCCUGGAGGCAUGGCUGUUCUCCCUAGUAAUUCCAUCAGUUCCCCCCAGGUCCAUAGACUUCAGCCUAGUGCAGUCAAAGUAAUGCAGCCAACCAACUCAAUAUUUUUUCAGAAUGAUGAUGAAAUUGGCCAAAACCCCACCAGGUCAAUUCAAAUGCGUGAACCUGACACAUUUGCCAUGUAUAGACAGCCUGUGUCGGGUGAAGACAGGCUUGUUCAACUGCAGAGCGGUUCUAGCCAAUACAGUGGUGCCAUCAAGACUAACCAGCAACCUUUUAAAAGGGCAGUUUUUCAACCAAGGCCUCAAACUAAUGAUUGGGUGCAGAAAAGUUAUCAUGGAAGCCCAGACAAAAAGUUGGACCUGAUUAAAGUCUUUAAUGGUCCAAAUUCUAGAUCUCAGUAUGGCAGUAAGACCUCACAGGAGGUGAAAACUGCUUCCGAUGAUUUGCAUCAAAAAAAGAGGCGGAGCCAGCAACAUGUUCAGUCUGCUCAAACUCCCUUGAGUCAUGGUGUCCACAUUUCUGAGCCUAAAAAGAACCCUGUCUGGAGUCCAAAUGAGUACUAUUCAAGACCAGACGCACAGUUUGGAUCUGAAGACUCUUCAAGACCCGUUUCUCUGUAUGCCACUGCUGCCACAGUGACGCUCGGCACAUCUUCAGACUACGUUGGUCAAAAAGAGCAGAGCAGCCAGCAACCUGUUCAGUUUACUCAAACCCAUCAUGGUGUCCAGAUGCCUGAGCCCAGUAAAAGGAACUAUGCCCUUGGAGCUGAAGACUCAAGAGUUGUUUCUCCAUAUGUCAUUGCCACAGCUAUAGGAACAACUUCAGGCUACCUCAAUCAGAAUGAGCCAAAGCAUCACACGCCUGCUCCGAACAGCUCUAGCUACCACUUUGUAAUGAAUGGGCAGCAUGCUAAUGGCUCUAUUGGAAGCACAAGUGGGGCUGAGAGCAGACAGCCCAGUGAUGAACAAAUCCUUCCUUCAAGGGCUGAAGCACUCAAUCUGCUAAAGCAAGCUCUUAAAGGUGUGUCAAGAGGUCACCCGUUUCACUCUAUAAUGCAGAGGCUUAUUCCUGCUAGUGCUCCCUCCUGGAACAUGGGUGAAGGAGAGGACUUCCCUGGCAGUGUUGAGAGUUCCCCAUCUUUACACGAAGUUCAAAGUCCUUUUGGAGAUGGCAGUGGAAGUCGCUUGUCCCCCAGUGUGAGUCAAGGGGGAACUUUGUACAGUGGAAAUAGCAGCAUAACUCAUUCUGAUGAGAAUUUUGGUUCUGGGAAACCUGGCAGCGCAAGUGAGCCCCAAGAGCCACUCCCAGAUGGUGGUGUCUUGUCUCCUUCACCUUCGGUGAAUGUGUACAGAAGUGCAUCCGGUAAUACCUUCUCCAAUGUUUGGUCAGCCCACAAAGGCUAUAGUAAUUCAGCUAGGAUGGAGACCCCCAUCCAGCAAACAACUACUACAAAAGGACUUUUGCAAAUGGCCUCUGCCUCUAUGCCACAUAAAGUGAACACAGCUAUAAAAGUUACUCCUGCUCAGAGCAGAAUCCAAGCAUACAGUUUCUACAAUCAGAAAAAUUCUGGCAUGAGAAAAGUAGUGCCAAGGAUGCGUACAAAUAGCUUUUCUGUGGUUCAGAUGUUAUUUCCAAGCAUAAGUAAGGGUAGUCUGAGGCCUGAGGUCACUGCUUCCAAAACUAGCAUUAAACGCUACAGAAUCACAAAACAACCUAUUGGGUUUCAAGCUCGUUAUAUUGUAAAAUCCCUCAAUCCCUAUGAGAUCACUAAACAUAUGUUUUCAGAAACCAGCUAUAUGCCAUUAGCCUCCCCUUAUACCAAAAGAUCCUCACAGGUUAAGUUUCCUACAAAAAGCAGAGUCUGACUUUUCCUCUCAAACUAGAUCUUGGGGUCCUGGAAGGACUUUGUAAACAAGCUGCCCACAUAAACACAAAGCAAGGGCUCCCCAUCCCUUCCUGGCCACUGAUGAUCAAGAUGUGUUUGUUACAGGACUUAAUAAAUAAAUAAAAUUAAUCUGGCAA
Molecule: RNA transcript, 3168 nt
Organism: Alosa alosa (allis shad)
Lineage: Eukaryota; Metazoa; Chordata; Actinopteri; Clupeiformes; Clupeidae
Exons: 5
Source: RefSeq, a predicted model, not a curated record